CCCCAAAAUGCAGGGACUUGUUUUUGUCUUUUUGUCUUUUAGAAUAUCUUUUGAUUUUGUUCUUGCAAGAUGGACCCUGGGUGGAAAGAGCUCCAGUCCAUGGGCCGUUUAUGCCAUGGAGAUAAAAUAACAGGAGUAUUCUCUUGUUCAUGGAUGAGGUCUCCUCUCAUACUGAGUCUGUGCUCUGGGCUGUAAUUUUCACAAGUGCCUCUCAGUUUUUUCCUGCCUUAGAUGGGACAGGGUGGCUGGAGGGCACUGGUGUUGGGUAUUUCCUUUCUCCUAGGUUGAUUAGUCUCUCAGAAACUCUACUAGGCUGGAGGAAAAUAAUUUUAUCUUGAGACCUUGUGAAGAGCUACAGGCUUUGUUCGGAUUUAUACCAAAAUGGCUGUUUUCCCUCACCCUGCCCAAAGUCAGGGCACAUGUUCCUCUGAUCUUCACUGUGAGCAGGUGGUAUAGACCCAGGACAUGAAUUCACAAGAGUGUGGGUCCCCUUCCCCUUGAACAUUUCACUCCGCAUCGAUGUCCAGUGAUUCAUCCCUGACGUUUCUGGCUUUCUGAUCCUGGUCCUGGCUCGUGUGGUUUCUGCUCUGCUAAGUUGCGAUUCUCCUGUUUGCCUUAUCUCACGUCGCUUCCCUGUCUCUCCAGUUUGCGGGGCGGUAGUGGCCUUGCUUUUCUGACAGAUCUAACAAGAGUUGUUGAUUUUUCAGUUUGUUUGGACCUUUAGUUGCUUCAGGACAGAAUACUCACUUCAAGCUCCUUCCGUGUCAUAGGAACCAGGCAUCGCCUUUUCUAACAUAUCUAUGCUUGAGCUGGGUGCGGAGAUGCACACAACGCUUGGGAGGCUGAGGCGGGAGGAUAGCUUCAAAUUCCAGGUCAGCCUGGGCUACACAGUGAGUUCAACGCCAGCCUGAACUACAUGGUUUAUGGGACAAGAAUAUUCUGGCCUUUGCAAUCUUGAGAACAGGAAGAAGAAAAUCAACACAGAUCAAAUUUCUCAAGGCAUGAGAAUUCAAAGGAAAAAAAUCGUUUCAGUACUUCCUUAAGACACCUUGGAUUGUAAGACCGGUAUUGUUAAACCAUGGCCUUGCUCUUCAUGGAUCUAUAGAGCUCCCUUGAAAUGGUUUGCACCAAAUUCCUUGAAAUGGCUGGAAAUGUACUGUAAAUAGCCAAGACUGACGAAAUGCAGUGGGAAGGGGAGGGGAAAGGUAGGAAGGGAAAAGAAAAACAUAGGGAGAAAAUGAA
Long non-coding RNA from Fukomys damarensis (Damara mole-rat), 1242 nucleotides. RefSeq lists it as uncharacterized. The transcript has 3 exons. The record is from RefSeq and is a predicted model, not a curated record. Lineage: Eukaryota; Metazoa; Chordata; Mammalia; Rodentia; Bathyergidae.